AGGGUUUGAUCCUGGCUCAGGAUGAACGCUAGCGGCAGGCUUAACACAUGCAAGUCGAGGGGUAGAGUAGCAAUACUUGAGACCGGCGCACGGGUGCGUAACGCGUAUGCAACCUACCUUUUACAGGGGAAUAGCCCAGAGAAAUUUGGAUUAAUGCCCCAUGGUAUAAUUGAAUCGCAUGGUUUAAUUAUUAAAGUUCCAACGGUAAAAGAUGGGCAUGCGUCCUAUUAGCUAGAUGGUAAGGUAACGGCUUACCAUGGCUACGAUAGGUAGGGGUCCUGAGAGGGAGAUCCCCCACACUGGUACUGAGACACGGACCAGACUCCUACGGGAGGCAGCAGUGAGGAGUAUUGGACAAUGGGCGCAAGCCUGAUCCAGCCCAUGCCGCGUGCAGGAAGACGCAUCUAUGGUGUGUAAACUGCUUUUGUACAGGAAGAAACAUCCCCGACGUGUCGGGACUUGACGGUACUGUAAGAAUAAGGAUCGGCUAACUCCGUGCCAGCAGCCGCGGUAAUACGGAGGAUCCAAGCGUUUUCCGGAAUCCUUGGGUUUAAAGGGUCC
This 561-nucleotide ribosomal RNA is filed under the name uncultured Flavobacteriia bacterium. RNAcentral's name for it is "bacterial SSU rRNA". It matches the Rfam family "Bacterial small subunit ribosomal RNA", at positions 8 to 570 of the family's 1533-position model. Lineage: Bacteria; Pseudomonadati; Bacteroidota; Flavobacteriia. The record is from RNAcentral.